This 5443-nucleotide long non-coding RNA is filed under the name Sus scrofa (pig). RNAcentral's name for it is "lncRNA (ENSSSCG00035064484.1)". The record is from RNAcentral. Lineage: Eukaryota; Metazoa; Chordata; Mammalia; Artiodactyla; Suidae.
GGGGAGGCCUUCCAGAGAGGGUCACGUUCAGGCCGGGCACCGAGGACAGAUCAGGAGUUCUUCAGGCAGAGGAGACGGAAGGGAAUUCUAGACGGAGGUCUGAUGUGUGGCUGUGUUCAUGUGUUAUUACACGUCAUGCCCUAAAGGAAUAACAUCCUAAAAUUCAGCUGUGAAAUUCAGACAACCUUCCCCCCUUGAAUCAACAAGGCCUGACUGCCCAAUUAGAGGCAAACAUAAAUAUACUUUGAGGACUGCUUUGUGAUGAGCAAUCUGCUAUCCCUUGGGAACUCAGAGAGUGGUAAAACAGAGCCUCUGCUCCAUAGGAGCUCAUAGUUUAGGUAAGCACAUAGUGAGCCUCCAUGAACAAGUAACUAAUGAAAGUAGAAUAGGAACCUUAUGAGAGUGAAGUGAGUGGGAGAGAUAGGAACAUUUUAGCCAUUUAUAGGACAGAGCUGGCUUUGGUGGGGACUGGAACAAUCAUGGAGAGCUUCCUGGUAGAGGAGGACUCUAGGUUGGAAUUUGGCAGAGGGCUUGGAUAUAUACUGAGAGGGGGCGGGAAUAGAUCUUAGACAAUGGGCACAGAACACCCAGGAUUGCUGGAAGCCAGCCUGAGGAUAGAGACUGGUAGAGCCUUGAGCCAGCCUGGAGUUUGGAGUUUGUGCUGUCUGAGGGCCUAGGUGCUGACAUCCUCCCACCGGUGGGCAGACUGCGUGCAGGGCCCUACAGGUGAAGGGACACUUGGUUUGGCCAGUACCAUGACAUGUCCUAGUGUUGCACACCCUGGGGCCUACAGAACCAGCAGUUGUUGGUACAAAAGCUCCUCAUCCUCCCCAAGACAGAUGCUGUGAGAUGACUGUUACGACCGCUGCUUGAUAUUAGAUAAGAGCAAACAAGCAGGCAACUGUGGUUCUUUUCACAAAGGGCAUUCGGGGCAGGGGGUGUGGGGGCUGCCAAGAUCUUAGCCCAGGGGGCCUGGGCACGGUGGUAGCAUCUGCUGCAGCCCCAAAUUCACAGUUACUAAAUUAAAUGACUGCUUCUACAGACACAGCAUGGUAUCAACCCUCUGUCAAUUCUUGAACCUCACUGGGAGCCCAGCUUUUGUUCCUUGCAGCCACCUUGCCUUCCCCCCUGGCCUUCAGAGGUGGAAGAGAUGCCCUCCUCCAUCUGCUGGGGUGGGAGAGGAGGUUGUUUAAGGCUCACAGCAAAGGCAACCCCUUGGACGACCCAGAGGUUGUAGGUGGAAUUCUGGCCUGGGAGGCGGGAGCUCUGGUUCUAGUCUGGGCCCAGCACUGAUUCAUAGAGAGGUCUUGGGUCCAGCAUUUCUCUCUGGGCCUCAGUUUCCUCUCUAAUAAACAGAGAAAAUGAUGUCUAUUGGGUUGAUUUUAUGUUUUGAUGUUGGAUAAGAAAGAGUUUUCACAACAUAUGUUCUGUCCUUUGAGUGUUUUGGAAAAUUUAGACGCAGUAAAGUUCUAGACUUUCAUAACAGACUUAGUAAGGAGGGGAUGAUUGAGCCAGUCGCCUUCCUUCCCACAUCAAGGGGUCCCUGAAACAGACCCUCUGAUCCUACCCCAUUUGUGCACUGGUUCACAGAUCUUUAAUUAUAUGACCAAGAACUGGGAACACAACAACCAAAAGCCAGCCAUUGCCAGUUAAAGAAGCCAUCAUAAAUCAGGAUUUAGGACUUGAGGCUGACGUAGAUGCCAGUGGGAAUGCUAAUUGCCAUGACCCUUUCCAGGAACACUCUUACCAAGCAAAUGUUUCCACUCGGCCAAGAGGGUGGUUCUUAGGGAGCCGUGCAGGGCCUGUGCCUUGGGAAUGGGCGGAGUUGGGCAGGCAGCAGGGAAGAAUGAGGACAUUCCAGGGGAAUGAGCAACACUCCAGUACCUGGGGAGUGCAGGGUCUCAUGGAAGCAUGUCCCUUUCUAUCCUCUCAACAAGGUUCGUAGACAUUAUUGUUUCUGUUUUACAGAUGAAGGAACUCAGGCUUUUCUAGGUCAGGUGAUUUUCCGGGCUUAUUCACAGAGUUGCGAUUGAGCUCAUGUGUGUCUACAGCCCAGGCUGGUGCUCCUGUGCAGGCCAGGGGGAACCACAGGUCCUGGGCAGAGGAGGGGGUGGGCAUAGUGGAUGAGCAGCAGGGGGGCACAGGAGGAAAAAAGCCAGGGACACAAUGGGGCCUCACCCUUCCAAAGAUUGUUUCCCAUUCCCUACUCGGCCCUGGGACUUCCUGGCCAGUGGACCAGAUUUUGAUUCCAGUUGGAAUGGUGAGAAAAUUGAGACUCAGAGAGAGUGCUUUGCUGCUCUGCUGAAGAUCACUUAGAGCAGGCACUGACAGAAUAGGGGUGUCUCCACUGGAAUGUCAGCUCAGAGAGGGUAGCACUGGGCCCUAAACCGAAUGACACAUGUCCUCAUAAGAGACAGAAAAGACCCAGAAACACAGGGAGGAAGGUGAUGUGAAGACAGGCAGAGAUGGGAGUAAUGCAGCCACAAGCCAAGGAAUGAACGCCAGGAGCCAGUUGAAGCUGGAGAAGGCAGGGGAGUCUCCCUUUGGAGCAGUUGGAGGGAGGAAGUGUGGCCUUGCUCACACCGUGGUUCCAGACUUCCGGAUUCCAGAGCUGUGGGAGAACGCAUUUCUGCUGUUUUAAGCCAUCCAGUUUGUGGUCAUUUGCCGCAGCAGCCCUAGGAGACUAAUGCAGUGCCCAACAAGAGACCCUGACGGAUGCUGCUCUGAUGGUUACAACCCGAGGCUUGGCUCCCUUCGAAGAGCUCUGCUGUGUUCCUAUUUUGCUGCACUCCCCCUGCCCACCCCUGCACCCCCAUCCAUAUUAGAAUAAGAUUGAAUUUUCUAGCUUGGGUUACUAAGCUUUCAGAUCUGGAAACUGUGGCCAUUAAUCAGCUGUCACGGGAUGUCGUAAACAAGGGGCUUUAAAAACCAUGUUUGCUUUUUAGGCUGAUAAUACUUGGAGGUGAAGCCGGGAGAGUUAUACAUAAUGCAUGCAUUUUAAUGGGCCGCGCACUACAGCCCUCUUUAGUUGGAAUGAUUCGUUUUAAUGUUCAAAAUAAAUAUCAGAGACAAUUUGCCAACAAAGCUGAUUUUCUCCGCCCGCCAUUAACUUAAUCUUUAUACCUCAGCCUAAUGACAGAGGGACUAGGGAUGGGAGGGGGGUGCUUUGUAUUGUAAGUAACGGGGAGAAGCCAUCGGUGUGGUCAUGAGCCAUGAGUGACCACACAUUCCAGUUUGCUCAGGACAGCCCUGCUUUUACCCAAUGUCCCAGAGUAAUUAUUCUGAGCUUGGAUCAAGUGGGGUUGCCAAUAUCCAACUAGUUUUGACCUGCAAGAUAGAAAUUUCCUAGGGUUUAAUCAAAACAUAGAAAUGUUGCUUGGCUUAUAUGAUUAAUGAUAUCACAUGCUAAAUAUGCCCCUUAUAGGUGGGGAAACUGAGGCCUUAAAUGCUGAGAGGCAUUGCCCAGGGCCACUGAGCUUCACAGAAGCAGGGCUCUGGGCUCCCUAGUACCCUGUGCUCCUGUUCCCAAGCCAGGUGUUUCUCUUGGAUGGCAUCCAGACUAUACCUGUCUCUUUUGUGCCUUCAGCUCUAAGGGCUUCUUGCUGCCCUUUUGAAAGGCAAACCUCAGAGUCACAGUUCUUGUCCCUGGCUUCUUGUGGUGAUACUUCCUGGGGUGACAACCUGGCUAUGGCACCACCAUCCACCUGUAAUCACCCAAGCACAUUACCAUGAGAAUGGGGGCCACAUACUGACCAUCCAUUUUUUCUUGAAAACAGACACAUGUUUGGAGGACAGCCAUGCUCAACCACUGUACCACCAAUGCAAACCAGCAUGGAGUUGACAGGGGAGACAGGAGGAAUGUCCCUCAACAUGUAGAGGCUGAUUCUUUUAGUUUACUUAUUUAUGUCCCUGUGCAGUUGCUGGUGAAUGGGGAGGAAUUCAGAAGGUGAGUCAGUCUGAGCAUGAGUAGGGCAGGGCAGGGGUGGGAUUUACUGAACAAAGCUGAUGUUAAACCCAAAAGUGACCUUGCAAAACAAGGAAGUAUCAUCCCCCCUGCAGUCCCCAGGAAAAUAUGUAUCUACUUGAUGGUGUGUUAGGGCCAAUGGGAAUGUUUUCUGGAGAACCCGUUGCUGCUGGGGACACAGAGAGCAGGAAGCCUAGACCUUGCCCUGCCCACCUGUCAGAGUGAACACAGGACUUUGCACCUCUUAUUGGAGAGGUGGGUCCAUCUACAGACCGAGCUUCAGAGAAAAAACAUGAGGGCAAGAGUCAUUCAUUCUCUUCUUUAUUCAUUUAAUAAAUAUGGAGUCCUUAAGGGCCAGCUGUUCUGCUAAGAACUAGGAUAAAUUCACCUAAAAAUCCAUGUUUAAGACUUUCUGUGAAAAUUGUAAGAUCUGGCUUAUGGCCUAGCAUUCCUGCCUGGCGGCCAUCGAUAGCGCUGAGCUGUGGCCGCCUGUCCUGGUGUCACCUUUGUCUAGCCCAUGUCACUCCCCUAGGCAGCCGGUUUGGUCCUGAAGCUACUUGAUUUUGAGAAUCCUGGCUUAGUCUCUGCUUCCUAUAUCAAAGGGAGGUGCCAAAGAAAUUCUUGCUGUUUGUUGCAUGAAACUGAGUCUAGGUGGUUCUCUAAGGAGGUCCUGUACUUCCUUCAGACAUUGCCGUAGCUUGGUACAAGUGCCCUUGGGUUUCGGAGGGGAGGAAGUCUCUCCCCAGGAAGCUCAAAUGGGGAAAGGAUGCUGAGGGACCACACCUACCUCAGAAUCCAGGAGAAGUGAGUGCAUAACACUACGGGCACAGCAGCCUUGGUGGGAAGGCAGCUUCACCUAAGCCCUUGGAAUGCAACUUGACCACAUUUCCCAAAAUUUGAAAAGCCCAUACCCUUUUGGCCCAGCUGUUCCAGGGCUGUAUUCCAAAGAUGUGUUUGCAGAAGUGCACUGAGAUGUAGAUGCAAGCCUGAGUGUUAAGAAAUGUUUGUGAUAGCAGCUAGAAACCACCAGAAUGUCCAUCAAGGGGCUGAGCGUAUAAGAUGUGGUGCUUCCAUGCCAAGUGGCUGCAGGACAGAAUGUAGCUCUUUUUGUGCUGAUAUAGAGAGAUUCAGAGUUGCAUUUUCAGCAAAAUAAAGCCAAGAGCAUAGCAGUGUAUAUAUGAACACCUCUGUGUAUAUAAGAAAGGACUGUUGAAAGCUUGGCCUUUGGCACAGCCUACCUGGGGGGUAAGUUCCUGCUUUGCUGCUUUCCAGCUGUGUGACUUGGGGAAGUCACUUGACCUCUCUAGCUUUAGUUACCUCGGCUGGACAACAGAGCUAAUAAUAGCAUCUGAUUGUAGCGCUGUUAUGAGGAUUGAGUGUGUUAAGACACAAAAAGCAUGACCAGGGCUGGGCCCAGAGAAAGUCUUUGUCAGCUAUUACCAUUGUUGUAUAUACUUACAUAAUUUUUUUUCCCUAAAG